Molecule: ribosomal RNA, 164 nt
Filed under: uncultured bacterium
Lineage: Bacteria
Description: partial 16S rRNA
Rfam family: Bacterial small subunit ribosomal RNA
Source: RNAcentral
UAGGGAAUCUUCGGCAAUGGACGAAAGUCUGACCGAGCAACGCCGCGUGAGUGAAGAAGGUUUUCGGAUCGUAAAACUCUGUUGUUAGAGAAGAACAAGGGUGAGAGUAACUGUUCACCCCUUGACGGUAUCUAACCAGAAAGCCACGGCUAACUACUUGCCAG